CGCAGUGAUGAAGCUAACGCAUUAAACAUUCCGCCUGGGGAGUACGGUCGCAAGAUUAAAACUCAAAGGAAUAGACGGGGACCCGCACAAGUGGUGGAGCAUGUGGUUUAAUUCGAAGAUACGCGAAGAACCUUACCCGGCCUUGACAUCCCGAGAACCUCCCAGAGAUGGGAGGGUGCUACUUCGGUAGAACUCGGUGACAGGUGCUGCACGGCUGUCGUCAGCUCGUGUCGUGAGAUGUUGGGUUAAGUCCCGCAACGAGCGCAACCCUCGUGUUUAGUUGCUAACAGUUAGGCUGAGCACUCUGGACAGACUGCCACCGUAAGGUGGAGGAAGGUGAGGACGACGUCAAGUCAUCAUGGUCCUUACGGCCAGGGCGACACACGUGCUACAAUGGGAAGGACAAUGAGAUGCGAUACCGCGAGGUGGAGCAAAUCUAUAAACCUUCUCUCAGUUCGGAUUGUAGUCUGCAACUCGACUACAUGAAGCUGGAAUCACUAGUAAUCGUGGAUCAGCCAUGCCACGGUGAAUACGUUCCCGGGUCUUGUACUCACCGCCCGUCACACCAUGGGAGUUGAGUUCACCCGAAGACGGGAAGCUAAACUGGCUACCGUCCACGGUGGGCUCAGCGACUGGGGUGAAGUCGUAACAAGGUA
Molecule: ribosomal RNA, 656 nt
Filed under: uncultured bacterium
Lineage: Bacteria
Description: bacterial SSU rRNA
Rfam family: Bacterial small subunit ribosomal RNA
Source: RNAcentral